ACAAGCCCUGGAAGACAGGGACCAGCCCAGGUGCUGACCGGAUAUCUCAACUACAUGGUCCAGCUGGGGAAGCUGCUGGGCGGCGGGGACGAGGAGACCAUCCGGCCCCAGAUGCAGCAGAUCUUGGACUUUGAGACGGCACUGGCCAACAUCACCAUCCCACAGGAGAAGCGCCGUGACGAGGAGCUCAUCUACCACAAAGUGACGGCAGCCGAGCUGCAGACCUUGGCACCCGCCAUCAACUGGUUACCUUUUCUCAACACCAUCUUCUACCCCGUGGAGAUCAAUGAAUCCGAGCCUAUUGUGGUCUAUGACAAGGAAUACCUUGAGCAGGUCUCCACUCUCAUCAACACCACCGACAAAUGCCUGCUCAACAACUACAUGAUCUGGAACCUGGUGCGGAAAACAAGCUCCUUCCUUGACCAGCGCUUUCAGGACGCCGAUGAAAAGUUCAUGGAAGUCAUGUACGGGACCAAGAAGACCUGUCUUCCUCGCUGGAAGUUUUGCGUGAGUGACACAGAAAACAACCUGGGCUUUGCGUUGGGCCCCAUGUUCGUCAAAGCAACCUUCGCCGAG
This 576-nucleotide small RNA is filed under the name Pan troglodytes (chimpanzee). RNAcentral's name for it is "processed transcript". Lineage: Eukaryota; Metazoa; Chordata; Mammalia; Primates; Hominidae. The record is from RNAcentral.